RNAcentral lists this ribosomal RNA (409 nucleotides) under uncultured bacterium. RNAcentral describes it as "bacterial SSU rRNA". It matches the Rfam family "Bacterial small subunit ribosomal RNA", at positions 29 to 436 of the family's 1533-position model. The record is from RNAcentral.
AGCGAACGUUUGCGGCGGGCCUAACACAUGCAAGUCGAACGAUAACCCAGCUUGCUGGGGGAAAGUGGCGCACGGGUGCGUAACACGUGGGUAAUCAACCCUUUGGAUCGGGACAACCCGGGGAAACUCGGGCUAAUACCGGAUAAGUCGUGGGAGUCUUCGGGCACCCACGGGAAAGGCCCGCAAGGGCUACCAUUGGACGAGCUCGCGGCCCAUCAGCUUGUUGGUGAGGUAAUGGCUCACCAAGGCUAAGACGGGUAGCUGGUCUGAGAGGAUGAUCAGCCACACUGGAACUGAGACACGGUCCAGACUCCUACGGGAGGCAGCAGUGGGGAAUAUUGCGCAAUGGGCGAAAGCCUGACGCAGCCACGCCGCGUGAGCGAUGAAGGCCUCGGUCGUAAGACUCUGU